RNAcentral lists this ribosomal RNA (496 nucleotides) under uncultured bacterium. Its description in RNAcentral is "partial 16S ribosomal RNA". It matches the Rfam family "Bacterial small subunit ribosomal RNA", at positions 30 to 523 of the family's 1533-position model. The record is from RNAcentral.
AUUGAACGCUGGCGGAAUGCUUUACACAUGCAAGUCGAACGGUAGAGGGGGCAACCCCUCGAGAGUGGCGAACGGGUGAGUAAUAUAUCGGAACGUGCCCAGGCGUGGGGGAUAACGUAGCGAAAGUUACGCUAAUACCGCAUACGAUCUAAGGAUGAAAGCGGGGGAUCGCAAGACCUCGCGCGAUUGGAGCGGCCGAUAUCAGAUUAGGUAGUUGGUGGGGUAAAGGCUCACCAAGCCAACGAUCUGUAGCUGGUCUGAGAGGACGACCAGCCACACUGGAACUGAGCCAUGGUCCAGACUCCUACGGGAGGCAGCAGUGGGGAAUUUUGGACAAUGGACGCAAGUCUGAUCCAGCCAUUCCGCGUGCAGGAUGAAGGCCCUCGGGUUGUAAACUGCUUUUGUACGGAACGAAAAGGUCUCUCUUAAUACGGGGGGCUCAUGACGGUACCGUAAGAAUAAGCACCGGCUAACUACGUGCCAGCAGCCGCCGUAA